Molecule: long non-coding RNA, 1829 nt
Organism: Crotalus tigris (Tiger rattlesnake)
Lineage: Eukaryota; Metazoa; Chordata; Lepidosauria; Squamata; Viperidae
Exons: 2
Source: RefSeq, a predicted model, not a curated record
AAAACAUUUUUGUAAUGCAAGCAAAUUAUAACUACAGUUGGUCUGUUGUACAUUAUAAAACUGGAGUAUGUAUAUAAAACUGGUGUAUGAAUAUGUGUGUAUGUGUAUUUUUUUUCUGACAUAAAGGCUUCAUUACCUAAUUUUGCAUGUACCGUAUAUGCCGGCGUACAAGGUGACCCGGCGUAUAAGACGACCCCCGUCUUUAUCGCCGGGCCGCAUUCCUAGAACGUCGUCUUAUACACCGGAAACUACCAGUAUUUCCGGCGUAUAAGACGACCCGGCGUAUAAGACGACUCCCGUCUUUGGCGCCAAUUUUAGCGCUCGCGGAAGUCGCCUUAUACGCCGGCAUAUACGGUAUAUGGGCUCUCCAGUAAAAACAGUUAUCUGUAUUACAGAAUAGCAUUGUGAAAUCAAAAUAGGAAGGAAAAACUGGGUUUUGGGACUGUGCCUUCAUUCCUCUCUAAAAGCAACAGAAAGUGUUAUUCCUGGAAUAUAGGCCAAGAUAGUUUAAGAAUCGAAGUAAUCGUAUGGAGCAAAUAACACAAAUAGGAAAAAAAACACUAGAUAAAUAUUUUAAGGCAAGAGUUGGCGUCAUCAUUCAGCCCCAAACUCAGAUAAAACUAAUUGUUUCAACCUUUAGAAUUGGUUCUUGCAAAACCAAAACAGCCAAGAAUUUGCACAUGCAAAUGACAUGUAUGAGCAAACUAAAAUACCACAACUAGGGAACAAACUUUAUUCUACAGAAACUUCACUGAGAUCUUUAUACUGACAUCUCGUGACUAAUCUUGCACUUUAAGCUCUUUUUUAAGGUUUCUAAGAAAAUGUCCAUAAAGAAUGUCACCUCAACUAGCUGAUCUUGACAAAAAAUAUUCAGUCAGACCCAAUUAUUACUUGGAUGGGGAACUAUCUGGAAAUCUGCAAGUAUUUCUAAAAUUAUGAAAUCAAACCAUUCAUAAAUGCCAUAAUCCAAAUAUCACAAUAACAGUAAACAGAGAAGCUUAGCUUAUAAUCAGAAAAGAUACCAUGGACUGGCUUCUAGAAAUUAUUAAAAUAAGAGCAAAGGUUUCCAGUAGUGUGUCUUUGAUUCCUGCUUCUUGAUUUUCAAAUACCAUCAGUUAAUGUUUUCAGGAGAGUGACCUGUUCCGUAUUUCUGACAUCUUAUUCUACCUGGUAAAAGUUGCUUUCAUCCAAGAGGCUGCUAUUACUAUUUAUGCUGCUCUGUGUCAAAAUGAAUGCUCAGUAUAUUAAACACCUAUUUAUUAACAAAUAAAGGAGCAACAGUGACCCAGAGAACUGUAUAUUUUGUCCACUCAUUCAUAAUGGUUAAAAUAAAAUAAGACUUUUCUUAGUUGAGGAGGUGAACCAUAUUGGGCAGAAAUGAUCUGAUUCCCCAUAGCCACUCUGACACUUGGAUGGAAUAAAUAGUAAUGGUCAUUGUAAUUCAAUAAGUGUCCAAUGACAUCUGUGGGUUAGUAAUGUUCAUGAUAUUUUCUGGAGUUAAGUAUGAGUUGCCUACCCCUGACCUAGGUGAUGAUUUCAGAGCCUUUCCUAUCAAGAAUUAAUGACAGAUGAGAGCUCAUCUUUAUCUGCAAAGUAAAAAAUUAUUUUGGAAUUUAAGUGAAUGUUCAUUUGAGAAACCUUUUUAAAAAAUUUAUCCUGGGUUUUUUCUUCCCUAUAGUUUCUUAUGUUGCUGGUUUGUUUAUGAUUUUAUGUAUCAAAUAGCACCUUUGCGAGGAAAGCUCUGCCUCAACCUAAUGAGCAAGUGCUUAGGUUUGAUGUUACUUCGGUCUGGAGGACAUUGCAGAAAGUUAACAUUUGGAAAGCGGCAA